GAGCGCUGAACGAGGACCCCUCCGGGGUCCUUUUUCAUGUCCCCCGGGAACCGCCGCGGCCUGCGGCGCUGUC
RNAcentral lists this transfer RNA (73 nucleotides) under Streptomyces hygroscopicus subsp. jinggangensis TL01. Its description in RNAcentral is "tRNA-Asn". Lineage: Bacteria; Bacillati; Actinomycetota; Actinomycetes; Kitasatosporales; Streptomycetaceae. The record is from RNAcentral.